AUUGAACGCUGGCGGCGUGCCUUACACAUGCAAGUCGAACGGCAGCGGACCUUCGGGUGCCGGCGAGUGGCGAACGGGUGAGUAAUAUAUCGGAACGUACCUUUCAGUGGGGGAUAACGUAGCGAAAGUUACGCUAAUACCGCAUAUUCUGUGAGCAGGAAAGCAGGGGGAUCGCAAGACCUUGCGCUGAUUGAGCGGCCGAUAUCAGAUUAGCUAGUUGGUGAGGUAAAGGCUCACCAAGGCGACGAUCUGUAGCGGGUCUGAGAGGAUGAUCCGCCACACUGGAACUGAGACACGGUCCAGACUCCUACGGGAGGCAGCAGUGGGGAAUUUUGGACAAUGGGCGCAAGCCUGAUCCAGCCAUGCCGCGUGAGUGAAGAAGGCCUCGGUUGUAAGCUCUUUCGCCGGAGAAUACGCACAGGUUAAUACC
RNAcentral lists this ribosomal RNA (430 nucleotides) under uncultured bacterium. RNAcentral's name for it is "bacterial SSU rRNA". It matches the Rfam family "Bacterial small subunit ribosomal RNA", at positions 30 to 464 of the family's 1533-position model. The record is from RNAcentral.